RNAcentral lists this ribosomal RNA (306 nucleotides) under uncultured bacterium. Its description in RNAcentral is "bacterial SSU rRNA". It matches the Rfam family "Bacterial small subunit ribosomal RNA", at positions 21 to 358 of the family's 1533-position model. The record is from RNAcentral.
GGCUCAGAAAGAAAGCUGGCGGCGUGCUCCACCAUGCAAGUCGAACGAACCUUCGGGUUAGUGGCGGACGGGUGAGUAACGCUUGCCCAAUCUGCCCUCAGGAGGGGGAUAACGGUUGGAAACGACCGCUAAUACCCCAUAUGCCGAGAGGUGAAAAGAAAUUCGCCUGAGGAUGAGCUCGCGUCUGAUUAGCUAGUUGGUGUGGUAAUGGCGCACCAAGGCUUCGAUCAGUAGCUGGUCUGAGAGGAUGAUCAGCCACACUGGGACUGAGACACGGCCCAGACUCCUACGGGAGGCAGCAGUGGG